Molecule: ribosomal RNA, 274 nt
Filed under: uncultured bacterium
Lineage: Bacteria
Description: partial 16S ribosomal RNA
Rfam family: Bacterial small subunit ribosomal RNA
Source: RNAcentral
AUACGGAGGGUGCAAGCGUUAAUCGGAAUUACUGGGCGUAAAGCGCUCGUAGGCGGUUGAUUAAGUCGGAUGUGAAAGCCCAGGGCUCAACCUUGGAACUGCAUUCGAUACUGGUCGACUAGAGUACAGUAGAGGCAAGUGGAAUUUCCUGUGUAGCGGUGAAAUGCGUAGAUAUAGGAAGGAACAUCAGUGGCGAAGGCGACUUGCUGGACUGAUACUGACGCUGAGGAGCGAAAGCGUGGGGAGCGAACGGGAUUAGAUACCCCGGUAGUCC